GACGAACGCUGGCGGCGUGCUUAACACAUGCAAGUCGAACGGAAAGGCCCUGCUUUUGUGGGGUGCUCGAGUGGCGAACAGGUGAGUAACACGUGAGUAACCUGCCCUUGACUUUGGGAUAACUUCAGGAAACUGGGGCUAAUACCGGAUAGGAGCUCCUGCUGCAUGGUGGGGGUUGGAAAGUUUCGGCGGUUGGGGAUGGACUCGCGGCUUAUCAGCUUGUUGGUGGGGUGGUGGCUUACCAAGGCUUUGACGGGUAGCCGGCCUGAGAGGGUGACCGGCCACAUUGGGACUGAGAUACGGCCCAGACUCCUACGGGAGGCAGCAGUGGGGAAUAUUGCACAAUGGGCGGAAGCCUGAUGCAGCAACGCCGCGUGCGGGAUGACGGCCUUCGGGUUGUAAACCGCUUUCGCCUGUGACGAAGCGUGAGUGACGGUAAUGGGUAAAGAAGCACCGGCUAACUACGUG
RNAcentral lists this ribosomal RNA (468 nucleotides) under uncultured bacterium. RNAcentral describes it as "partial 16S ribosomal RNA". It matches the Rfam family "Bacterial small subunit ribosomal RNA", at positions 28 to 507 of the family's 1533-position model. The record is from RNAcentral.